CAGAGAGCUCAUGAAGCCCGCAUUUCUGUGGGUUGGGAAUAGAUUAGAGUAUUUAGACAGCUUUCAUGUCCAGUCCCUGCCAGUCUUGCUGGACAUAAAAGAAACUUCAGAAAAUUCUCCAGAUCUACUACAGACUCCGAGUGAGAUCCAGGGAGGAGGAGCAUUACUUGCUGAAGGGAGGAAGCUGAUGGAGUAGCGGAGAGAAAGUAAAGCCCUUCAGGAGCCGAAGGAGCGUGUAUAUUCAAGAGGCGAUGUCCAGGAACAAGGUGAACCGGGGCUGAAGACAUGCUCUGAACUGCAGGGUCUGUGUCUGUCCCCUUGUUUGCACAAAUGCAAACCGAGGCUUGAAGGGAACAGAAAAGAGGUGAAGUGCCUGCCAAUAAUAAGCCUAUGCUUCAGUGGAGAAGGCAAAUCAGUAAGAAAUUAUGGAAGGGACUGAGGAAUCACUUACAAAUGCGAAUGCUUUUUACAAGAAAGAAAAUGUUCACCGUAAAAGAAUUGGCACUAAUCUACAAUUGUCAUAGAAUGGAAAAUAUAAUUUUGCAGGAUUAUAGAAUUUAAGGAUUUUUGGCUCUGCUCUGAUUUGGAUCACUGCAUAACAACUUCAAGAACUUGAGAGUUGGAGAAACCAUGCACACAAGAAAAACGUUAGAAUGAUUUUGGAUUAAACUCACCAGCUUCAGAAAUGCCUAAUUAAAACUGAUACUAGAAUUAAAUAUUAGAAAGGUAAAUAGGACCAUUAUACAAAAAUCACAGCCAUGAAUCCAUGAAACACCAACAGCAGAUGGAGGAUAGGAAGGGAGGAGAGAACCGUGGGUUUGACAACUGAAACUCAAUAAUAAAUCAACCAUAUCAGAAGACACUGUAUAUGGCCUAUUCCUUCUCUCAUUCUCUAUCACACAAACACACUUGCUCAUGCAGAGAGGAGGGUUUGAUACAAUUCCUCCUACAGAAAGAAACUGUGGGGUGUUUCCCACAGGCAUAUGCAUUUAGUUCUAGUUCAGGCUAGAGAAUCUGGGUUUCAUUCCCAGUCCCACAGGACUCUGACUCAAAAUCACCAUGCUGAGAAGUUGCUAAAAUAAAUAUUUUCUUUUAAAACUCUUAAAGCACUGUAAAGAAGUGUGUUAUAACUACUUAAUGAUAUGUUACCCAAAUUGGCAAACCAAAACAGCAGUAAUACUAUGAGGUGUAUCACAGCAAAAUAGCAAAUGAUGGCUACGAAUGACAUUUGGGUCAAUGGGACAUCUCUGAGCAUGAACCACUGUGAUUACAGAACUUAAAAGGCAACCAUGCAACAGGUUUAAGACAAAAUAAAGCAGAAGAUCUAUUUUCUGUUUUAAUCAGGAAAUACAUGUUUCUCAUCUGUUUUUCGGAUGGAAACAAUCUCUAUUCCUUCCUCAGAGAGUUAUAAUUUUGUUCAGAGAAGCAAACUGCCCAACCCUGGUGAUGCAGAAGAUAUUCAUGGAAAUUAGGGGUGACCAUGUGACCUGUUUAGCCAAUGAGAUCUGAACAGAACUUUGCUGAGAAAGAUAACACCAAAGAAAGCUUUCUUCAUCAAAGCGGACAGAUGAGGAAGGGUCAGUUCUUCACUGUUUCUUUCUGUCUCCCACACAGAUGGAAUGGCUGGAUCUACAGCAGCUAUCUUGUGACCAUGAGACAAACAUGAAGAUGAAAAUCAACACCCUGAGAUACCUAAUCAGAAAGGAGGAAAGAUCCUAACUGCAAAUAAACCAACACUACCAACAAUAAAACUGGAUAU
Phacochoerus africanus (Common warthog) is the source of this 1759-nucleotide long non-coding RNA. RefSeq lists it as uncharacterized. Lineage: Eukaryota; Metazoa; Chordata; Mammalia; Artiodactyla; Suidae. The transcript has 4 exons. The record is from RefSeq and is a predicted model, not a curated record.